AGUUGGCCGGUGCUUCUUCUGUACCUACCGUCACUUGCGCUUCGUCGGUACUGAAAGAGGUUUACAACCCGAAGGCCGUCAUCCCUCACGCGGCGUUGCUGGAUCAGGCUUCCGCCCAUUGUCCAAUAUUCCCCACUGCUGCCUCCCGUAGGAAGCCGAAUUCUGCAGAUAUCCAUCACACUGGCGGCCGCUCGAGCAUGCAUCUAGAGGGCCCAAUUCGCCCUAUAGUGAGUCGUAUUACAAUUCACUGGCCGUCGUUUUACAACGUCA
Molecule: ribosomal RNA, 270 nt
Filed under: uncultured bacterium
Lineage: Bacteria
Description: partial 16S ribosomal RNA
Source: RNAcentral